This 500-nucleotide ribosomal RNA is filed under the name uncultured bacterium. RNAcentral describes it as "partial 16S ribosomal RNA". It matches the Rfam family "Bacterial small subunit ribosomal RNA", at positions 30 to 523 of the family's 1533-position model. The record is from RNAcentral.
AUUGAAUGCUGGCGGCAUGCUUUACACAUGCAAGUCGAACGGUAACAGGCCGCAAGGUGCUGACGAGUGGCGAACGGGUGAGUAAUGCAUCGGAACGUGCCCAAUCGUGGGGGAUAACGCAGCGAAAGCUGUGCUAAUACCGCAUACGAUCUGUGGAUGAAAGCGGGGGACUCGCAAGGGCCUCGCGCGAUUGGAGCGGCCGAUGUCAGAUUAGGUAGUUGGUGAGGUAAAGGCUCACCAAGCCAACGAUCUGUAGCUGGUCUGAGAGGACGACCAGCCACACUGGGACUGAGACACGGCCCAGACUCCUACGGGAGGCAGCAGUGGGGAAUUUUGGACAAUGGGGGCAACCCUGAUCCAGCAAUGCCGCGUGCAGGAAGAAGGCCUUCGGGUUGUAAACUGCUUUUGUACGGAACGAAACGGUCUGGGUUAAUACCCUGGGCUAAUGACGGUACCGUAAGAAUAAGCACCGGCUAACUACGUGCCAGCCGCCGCAGUAA